GAUGAAGAACGCAGCGAAAUGCGAUACUUGGUGUGAAUUGCAGAAUCCCGUGAACCAUCGUGUCUUUGAACGCAAGUUGCGCCCGAAGCCAUUAGGCCGAGGGCACGCCUGCCUGGGCGUCACACGUCGUUGCCCCCCCAUCUACUCCUUCGGGAUUGCGGGGGGCGGAUGAUGGCCUCCCGUGCGCCUCGUCGCGCGGUUGGCAUAAAUGCCAAGUCCUCGGCGACACACGCCACGACAAUCGGUGGUUGCGAAACCUCGGUUGCCCGUCGUGUGCGGUCGUCGCGCAUCGAGGGCUCGAAAAAAUUGCCGGGCUCCGGCUCGGCUUUCAACGCGACCCCAGGUCAGGCGGGGUUACCCGCUGAAUUUAAGCAUAUCAAUAAGCGGAGGA
RNAcentral lists this unclassified non-coding RNA (391 nucleotides) under soil metagenome. RNAcentral's name for it is "partial contains 5.8S ribosomal RNA, internal transcribed spacer 2, and large subunit ribosomal RNA". The stretch from base 1 to 122 matches the Rfam family "5.8S ribosomal RNA", at positions 35 to 154 of the family's 154-position model. The record is from RNAcentral.